Molecule: ribosomal RNA, 429 nt
Filed under: Pseudomonadota bacterium
Lineage: Bacteria; Pseudomonadati; Pseudomonadota
Description: Proteobacteria bacterium partial 16S ribosomal RNA
Rfam family: Bacterial small subunit ribosomal RNA
Source: RNAcentral
UGGGGAAUAUUGGACAAUGGGCGAAAGCCUGAUCCAGCCAUGCCGCGUGUGUGAAGAAGGUCUUCGGAUUGUAAAGCACUUUAAGUUGGGAGGAAGGGCAGUAAGCGAAUACCUUGCUGUUUUGACGUUACCGACAGAAUAAGCACCGGCUAACUCUGUGCCAGCAGCCGCGGUAAUACAGAGGGUGCAAGCGUUAAUCGGAAUUACUGGGCGUAAAGCGCGCGUAGGUGGUUCGUUAAGUUGAAUGUGAAAGCCCCGGGCUCAACCUGGGAACUGCAUCCAAAACUGGCGAGCUAGAGUAGGGCAGAGGGUGGUGGAAUUGCCUGUGUAGCGGUGAAAUGCGUAGAUAUAGGAAGGAACACCAGUGGCGAAGGCGACCACCUGGGGUCAUACUGACACUGAGGUGCGAAAGCGUGGGGAGCAAACAGG